RNAcentral lists this non-coding RNA (93 nucleotides) under unclassified sequences. Its description in RNAcentral is "ivy-DE RNA". It matches the Rfam family "ivy-DE RNA". The record is from RNAcentral.
UGACCAGGGGGCUGGGCAGCUCUGAUCGAUGCAAUAUCGGAGCCGCCUAGGGGUACAAGGAGUACCUCCGCACAGGGCCGGGUCAGGAAAGCA